This 315-nucleotide unclassified non-coding RNA is filed under the name Zea mays. RNAcentral describes it as "misc RNA Zm00001eb386400". The record is from RNAcentral. Lineage: Eukaryota; Viridiplantae; Streptophyta; Magnoliopsida; Poales; Poaceae.
CACUCUCCGAACCCUUCUUCAUCAACGGAAGGAAGCCGUUGUCGGUGACUGCACCGAGACCGCUCAGAUCGAUGCUCUCCAACUGAGGGCAGAUCAUGCCCACCACGGCAAGGCUAGCGUCCGUGAAUCCUGGGCAAUCCUUGAUGGUCAGGGAACGCAGCGACUUGCAUACUGGGAGCUGCGCAGGUGCCGAGCAGAUGUCCUUGAUCCCGAUGCACUUGGACAAGGAGAGAGCCUUGAACUUGGGGUUGCAGUUCAGGAGGAAAGCAAGAAUGCCCACAAGAGUAACCUUGCUGCACUCCUCGAUCUGCAAAC